Molecule: ribosomal RNA, 620 nt
Filed under: Bacillus pumilus
Lineage: Bacteria; Bacillati; Bacillota; Bacilli; Caryophanales; Bacillaceae
Description: bacterial SSU rRNA
Rfam family: Bacterial small subunit ribosomal RNA
Source: RNAcentral
ACGUGGGUAACCUGCCUGUAAGACUGGGAUAACUCCGGGAAACCGGAGCUAAUACCGGAUAGUUCCUUGAACCGCAUGGUUCAAGGAUGAAAGACGGUUUCGGCUGUCACUUACAGAUGGACCCGCGGCGCAUUAGCUAGUUGGUGGGGUAAUGGCUCACCAAGGCGACGAUGCGUAGCCGACCUGAGAGGGUGAUCGGCCACACUGGGACUGAGACACGGCCCAGACUCCUACGGGAGGCAGCAGUAGGGAAUCUUCCGCAAUGGACGAAAGUCUGACGGAGCAACGCCGCGUGAGUGAUGAAGGUUUUCGGAUCGUAAAGCUCUGUUGUUAGGGAAGAACAAGUGCGAGAGUAACUGCUCGCACCUUGACGGUACCUAACCAGAAAGCCACGGCUAACUACGUGCCAGCAGCCGCGGUAAUACGUAGGUGGCAAGCGUUGUCCGGAAUUAUUGGGCGUAAAGGGCUCGCAGGCGGUUUCUUAAGUCUGAUGUGAAAGCCCCCGGCUCAACCGGGGAGGGUCAUUGGAAACUGGGAAACUUGAGUGCAGAAGAGGAGAGUGGAAUUCCACGUGUAGCGGUGAAAUGCGUAGAGAUGUGGAGGAACACCAGUGGCGAAGG